Molecule: ribosomal RNA, 293 nt
Filed under: uncultured bacterium
Lineage: Bacteria
Description: partial 16S ribosomal RNA
Rfam family: Archaeal small subunit ribosomal RNA
Source: RNAcentral
GUGCCAGCAGCCGCGGUAAUACCGGCAGCCCAAGUGAUGGCCGCUGUUAUUGGGCCUAAAGCGUCCGUAGCUGGCCGCACAAGUCCGUCGGGAAAUCCGCCCGCUCAACGGGCGGCCGUCCGGCGGAACCUGUGUGGCUUGGGACCGGAAGGCUCGAAGGGUACGUUCGGGGUAGGAGUGAAAUCCCAUAAUCCCGCACGGACCACCGAUGGCGAAAGCACUCUGAGAAGACGGCUUCGACAGUGAGGGACGAAAGCUCGGGUCUCAAACCGGAUUAGAAACCCGAGUAGUCC